RNAcentral lists this ribosomal RNA (1580 nucleotides) under Bifidobacteriaceae bacterium VN002. Its description in RNAcentral is "bacterial LSU rRNA". It matches the Rfam family "Bacterial large subunit ribosomal RNA", at positions 1420 to 2925 of the family's 2925-position model. Lineage: Bacteria; Bacillati; Actinomycetota; Actinomycetes; Bifidobacteriales; Bifidobacteriaceae. The record is from RNAcentral.
GUUACACCGUUCGAACUGAAUCUGAGAGUACUAACCUUCGUUAUUCUGGUUGAUUGCCUUUCGGGGUUUUCUUCUGGUUUAGUGUUGGGAGCGUAUCGGUAGUAGGUUAGCGUGGGAGUGACGCGGGUAGGUAGCCGGCUGCGGAGGUGGUUUUCCGUGGCUAAGCGUGUGGGCUGUCCUCUAGGUAAAUCCGGGGGAUGUUUAAGCUGAGGCGUGAUGGGUAGGCCGUAUGGCUGAUUCCGGUGAUCCUGCUUGCCGAGAAAAGCUUCAACGUGAGGUGUGAUUCCGCUCGUACCCUAAACCGACACUGGUGGUCUGGUAGAGUAUACCGAAGCGAUCGGGCGAAUCCUGGCCAAGGAACUCGGCAAAUUACUCCCGUGCCUUCGGCAUAAGGGAGACCCUUGAUGGUGAUGUUUUUUACAUGCGGAGCUGUUGGGGGUGGCACAAGCUAGGGGGUAGCGACUGUUUACCAAAAACACAGGAGCGUGCGAAGGCGUAAGCCGCUGUAUACGCUCUGACGCCUGCCCGGUGCCGGAAGGUUAAGAGGAUCCGUUAGCUUUGGCGAAGCGGUGAAUUUAAGCCCCGGUAAACGGCGGUGGUAACUAUAACCAUCCUAAGGUAGCGAAAUUCCUUGUCGGGUAAGUUCCGACCUGCACGAAUGGCGUAACGACUUCCCCACUGUCUCGGCCAGGAGCCCGGCGAAAUUGCAGUACGAGUAAAGAUGCUCGUUAAGCGCAGAAGGACGAAAAGACCCCGGGACCUUUACUAUACCUUGGUAUUGUCGUUAGGUGUGGAUCGUGUAGCAUAGGCGGGAGGCUUUGAAGCGUGGGCGCUAGCUUGCGUGGAGUCGAUAAGUGAAAUACCGCUCUUUCCAUAUCUGGCGUCUAACCUCGACACGUUAUCCGUGUUAGGGACAGUGCCUGGCGGGUAGUUUAACUGGGGCGGUUGCCUCCUAAAGAGUAACGGAGGCGCUCAAUGGUCCGCUCAGCCCGGUUGGCAAUCGGGUGUUGAGUGUAAUCGCACAAGCGGGCUUGACUGUGAGACUGACGGGUCGAGCAGGGACGAAAGUCGGAGAUAGUGAUCCGGUGCCGGCGUACGGACGUGGCAUCGCUCAACGGAUAAAAGGUACCCCGGGGAUAACAGGCUGAUCAUUCCCAAGAGUCCAUAUCGACGGGAUGGUUUGGCACCUCGAUGUCGGCUCGUCGCAUCCUGGGGCUGGAGCAGGUCCCAAGGGUUCGGCUGUUCGCCGAUUAAAGCGGCACGCGAGCUGGGUUCAGAACGUCGUGAGACAGUUUGGUCUCUAUCCUCUGCGCUCGUUGGAAUGUUGAGGAGACCUGCCCAUAGUACGAGAGGACCUGGGUGGACGAACCUCUGGUAUGCCGGUCGUCACGCCAGUGGCGCUGCCGGUUAGCUACGUUUGGAAGGGAUAACCGCUGAAAGCAUCUAAGCGGGAAGCCUGCUCCAAGAUUAGCAUUCCUUGCACUUUGUGUGUGAGCCCCCAUGUAGAACACGUGGUUGAUAGGCUGGAUGUGGAAGCCCUGUAAGGGGUGGAGCUGACCAGUACUAAUGGGCGAUUGUGA